AAGAUGGGAAGACUACUGAACUUUUGUUUUCUGCUCGUAUUAUUUUAUCUGCGAUUAGUUUCCUCUGAAGAAAGCAUAAAGGUGAAUAUAAACCCAAACAGAACAAUAUUUAACUACGAAUUAGGUAAAAAGCCCAAAGAAAAUAUUACCUGUGAAUCCAACUGCUGGAAUUGCACAUACGUAUGGUAUCUCAUGUAUAAUGACACAGUAUAUCAACAUCGUUUCCAAGAAGGAAAUGUUUUAUUUUAUGAUAUAACCAUGCAGAUGAACAAUACUUUCAAGUGUGAGGUUAUUACACAAGAUCGAAAGAAAUAUAAACGCAGUGAUGUGAUUACCGUCAUUGUGAAAGAAAACAAACCGAACACUCCACCUACACACAGUGUCUCGGUGAUACAGUCGAGCACCACCACGAUGUACUCUCAGUCUACUACUGCCGCAAAGUAUGUCGAAAAUAAUGAAAGUAUUUUAAUUAUUGGUAUAUCGGGAGGGACAGUUCUUCUUCUGAUUGUGGUCUUGGUGAUAAUUCUUUGUGUGAAAAAGAAACAAUUUAAGCAGAACAAAACAUGUAAGUAGUUCAUAAGCAAUACUUCUCAGGGAAAAGACCAUAGGUUAGAAAUGGCUGAGAAUACUCUCUAUAUCUCUGCCGACAUUGUAACUGAAAAACCACAAGCAAACCCUGAACAAAACAAUACCCCUAUAAACGGAAGUGACGUUUACGCUGUCGUCAACAAGAUAAAGAAAAAUGAGAAUCACAUUCCCGUGUACGCUGAAAUCCGUAAAUCUCAGCCAGGAAAGGAAAAAACAGCAAUAAACAAGAAACCAUCGGUAGAGGAUAAAAAGCAAUCCGGACAAAAUAAAAACACCGGUGGAAUGGUUUAUUUAGAAAUUGAUUUUGACAACAUGUCGUCAAACAGAAAAACAGCCAUACAGGGAGCAGAAGACAGCACGCAGUAUGUCGACAUAAACUCAAUAAAACAUGCCGACCCACUGUUGAAGAGUGUCGAAUAAAGAAGGAUAAAGUCCUGACUUCCUUCAAAAUGGAAAGGAAUCAAAUGCGGAAUAAAUCUGCUUAAAACAUAUGCAACGCUUUGGAAAUUCAUGUUUAUAUAAUUUAUUUCAGUGUACACUUGUAAAUUUAUUAAAGUGUUUUUCUAUGAAAUUUCACAAUUAACGACAGCCUCAUAAUAUUGGACUUUUGCGAGAAGCACUGACUUUUACAGUUGACUGUUUACUUUGACAUUUAAACCUGUAUCACGUAUGGAGGUACAGAAUUGAUAAUAGAUGGGAUAAUAUUUCUAGUGGUCAUAGGUAUGGUGUUAGGGCACUAACAUGUGAAGGCCGGAAGUUAAGGGUAGGUGGUUGUCGUUUUCUUCA
Long non-coding RNA from Saccostrea echinata, 1374 nucleotides. RefSeq lists it as uncharacterized. The record is from RefSeq and is a predicted model, not a curated record. Lineage: Eukaryota; Metazoa; Mollusca; Bivalvia; Ostreida; Ostreidae. The transcript has 8 exons.